RNAcentral lists this long non-coding RNA (1376 nucleotides) under Gorilla gorilla gorilla (western lowland gorilla). RNAcentral describes it as "lncRNA (ENSGGOG00000044571.1)". Lineage: Eukaryota; Metazoa; Chordata; Mammalia; Primates; Hominidae. The record is from RNAcentral.
CUAGAUUUCUAGUAACUGUUUUUGGGGUGUCUGGUGGGUUGUAUCUUUUAGGCCUUAAACACAGAUAGUUUGAAAAUAUCAACUCACCUGAACUUAAUGGAACAAGAGUUGUCUGAAAAGAAUGUGCAGCUCCAGACCAGUACAGCUGAGGAGAAAACAAAGAUUUCAGAACAAGUUGAAGUCCUCCAGAAAGAAAAGGAUCAGCUCCAGAAACGAAGACACAGUGUGGAUGAAAAACUUAAAAAUGGUAGAGUGUUAUCACCUGAAGAAGAACAUGUUCUUUUCCAACUUGAAGAAGGGAUUGAAGCUUUGGAAGCUGCAAUUGAAUACAAGAAUGAAAGUAUCCAGAAUCGCCAGAAGUCACUUAGAGCAUCAUUCCAUAACCUCUCUCGUGGUGAAGCAAAUGUCUUGGAAAAGCUAGCUUGCCUGAGUCCUGUUGAGAUUAGAACUAUUCUUUUCAGAUAUUUCAAUAAGGUGGUGAAUUUGCGAGAAGCUGAACGGAAACAGCAGUUAUAUAAUGAAGAAAUAAAAAUGAAAGUUCUGGAACGGGAUAAUAUGGUUCGUGAAUUAGAAUCUGCACUGGACCAUCUAAAAUUGCAGUGUGACCGGAGACUGACCCUCCAGCAAAAGGAACACGAACAAAAGAUGCAGUUGCUGUUACAUCAUUUCAAAGAACAAGAUGCAGAAGGCAUUAUGGAAACUUUCAAAACAUAUGAAGAUAAAAUCCAGCAGUUGGAAAAAGAUCUUUAUUUCUAUAAGAAAACCAGCCGGGAUCAUAAGAAGAAACUUAAGGAACUGGUAGGGGAAGCAAUUCGGCAGCAACUAGCACCAUCAGAGUAUCAAGAGGCUGGAGAUGGAGUCCUGAAGCCAGAAGGAGGAGGCAUGCUUUCAGAAGAAUUAAAAUGGGCAUCCAGACCUGAAAGUAUGAAAUUAAGUGGAAGAGAAAGAGAAAUGGACAGUUCAGCAAGCAGCUUAAGAACACAGCCAAAUCCUCAAAAGCUCUGGGAAGAUAGCCCAGAAUUACCUCCAAUUCAUAGUUCUUUAGCACCCCCCAGUGGGCAUAUGUUAGGUAAUGAGAAUAAAACAGAAAUAGAUGAUAAUCAGUUUACAAAAUCUCACAGUCGACUGUCAUCCCAAAUUCAGGUUGUGGGAAAUGUGGGACAACUUCAUGGUGUCACACCUGUAAAACUGUGUCGAAAAGAAUUACGUCAAAUUUCAGCCUUGGAACUAUCAUUGCGACGUUCCAGUCUUGGAGUUGGCAUUGGAUCAAUGGCUGCUGAUUCCAUCGAAGUAUCUAGGAAACCAAGGGACUUAAAAACUUAGACAUUGAAUAAUAGAACUUUUAGUAGAUAUGUAAAAAGAUUCCUUUUUCUAAC